RNAcentral lists this ribosomal RNA (604 nucleotides) under uncultured bacterium. RNAcentral's name for it is "bacterial SSU rRNA". It matches the Rfam family "Bacterial small subunit ribosomal RNA", at positions 334 to 929 of the family's 1533-position model. The record is from RNAcentral.
CACUCCUACGGGAGGCAGCAGUAGGGAAUCUUCGGCAAUGGGGGGAACCCUGACCGAGCAACGCCGCGUGAGUGAAGAAGGUUUUCGGAUCGUAAAGCUCUGUUGUAAGAGAAGAACGGGUGUGAGAGUGGAAAGUUCACACUGUGACGGUAUCUUACCAGAAAGGGACGGCUAACUACGUGCCAGCAGCCGCGGUAAUACGUAGGUCCCGAGCGUUGUCCGGAUUUAUUGGGCGUAAAGCGAGCGCAGGCGGUUAGAUAAGUCUGAAGUUAAAGGCUGUGGCUUAACCAUAGUAUGCUUUGGAAACUGUUUAACUUGAGUGCAGAAGGGGAGAGUGGAAUUCCAUGUGUAGCGGUGAAAUGCGUAGAUAUAUGGAGGAACACCGGUGGCGAAAGCGGCUCUCUGGUCUGUAACUGACGCUGAGGCUCGAAAGCGUGGGGAGCAAACAGGAUUAGAUACCCUGGUAGUCCACGCCGUAAACGAUGAGUGCUAGGUGUUAGGCCCUUUCCGGGGCUUAGUGCCGCAGCUAACGCAUUAAGCACUCCGCCUGGGGAGUACGACCGCAAGGUUGAAACUCAAAGGAAUUGACGGGGGCCCGCACAAG